UACAGAGGGUGCGAGCGUUAAUCGGAAUUACUGGGCGUAAAGGGCCCGUAGGCGGCCAACUAAGUCGGAUGUGAAAUCCCCAGGCUCAACUUGGGAACUGCAUCCGAUACUGGAUGGCUUGAAUUCGGGAGAGGGAUGCAGAAUUCCAGGUGUAGCGGUGAAAUGCGUAGAUAUCUGGAGGAAUACCGGUGGCGAAGGCGGCAUCCUGGACCGACAUUGACGCUGAACGGCGAAAGCUAGGGGAGCAAACGGG
Molecule: ribosomal RNA, 253 nt
Filed under: uncultured bacterium
Lineage: Bacteria
Description: partial 16S ribosomal RNA
Rfam family: Bacterial small subunit ribosomal RNA
Source: RNAcentral